Molecule: ribosomal RNA, 492 nt
Filed under: uncultured bacterium
Lineage: Bacteria
Description: partial 16S ribosomal RNA
Rfam family: Bacterial small subunit ribosomal RNA
Source: RNAcentral
ACGAACGCUGGCGGCGCGUCUUAAACAUGCACGUCGAACGGCAGGAAGGGGCUUGCCCCUUCUGAGAGUGGCGGACUGGUGAGUAACACGUGGGUGACAUACCUUUUAGUUGGGGAUAGCUAUUAGAAAUAGUAGGUAAUACCGAAUGUGACCGUACCUGUUAGAGGGGUACGAGGAAAGGAGCUAAGGCUUCGCUAAAAGAAUGGCUCGCGGCCCAUUAUGCUCGUUGGUGAGGUAACGGCCCACCAAGGCGAUGAUGGGUAUCCGGCCUGAGAGGGUGAACGGACACAUUGGGACUGAGAUACGGCCCAGACUUCUACGGGAGGCAGCAGUUAAGAAUAUUCCGCAAUGGACGAAAGUCUGACGGAGCGACGCCGCGUGGAUGAAGAAUGCCGAAAGGCUGUAAAAUCCUUUUAAGCCUGAUGAAUAAGCACAGUAGGGAAUGAUUGUGCGGUGACCGUAGGGCUUGAAUAAGCACCGGCUAAUUACGUG